Long non-coding RNA from Scophthalmus maximus (turbot), 3111 nucleotides. RefSeq lists it as uncharacterized. NCBI's taxonomy places the organism in Eukaryota, Metazoa, Chordata, Actinopteri, Pleuronectiformes, Scophthalmidae. The transcript has 3 exons. The record is from RefSeq and is a predicted model, not a curated record.
GAAAUUACCCAAUUAUCAAGUAGUAUUAAAUAGUACUUGCAGAUUGUCAAUCAGCUACUCGAUAAAUCAUUGACCCUCUCAGCUCUGCUCAUCUAAAUCCUCCACUGUCCAGGACAUUGAACAACAAGUCAGACUCUACAGAGAAGUUUCAGAAGGGGACAAAAUGGGGGACUUUGUGUGGAGCAGAAUUCCUUUUUUCAAUUUCUGAAAACGUAUUUUGCAUUUAUAUGGCACUUGUAUCAAGAUUUCUUUCCAAUGUGUCUCAAAAUUAGCCGUUCUAUCACACACACACACACACACACACACACACACACACACACACACACACACACACACACACACACACACACACACACACACACACACACACACACACACACCAGUGGCAGUGAGCUACUCUGAGGGGCCACCAGCCGAAAGAUGAGGCCGACCGGAGUUUCGUGUUUUGCUCAAGGACACUCGGGAAACGACCGCGGGGCCGAAUAAGCAGACGCCCCACUCCGCUGACUCACGCUGCUCGCAACCAACCAACAGUGGCACAGUGUAAACAGCGUGGACCAACGCGAGGGGAUAUUCCCCCAAAAAAUCUGCGGCCUUCGGUUCCAGCUGGUCGCCAACGCAAGGGAAGAGGCUCACACAUAUUGAUUUGGUUCUCCUCUUCCCCCCCCCCCAGACCAUAUACAUAUUUAUAGAGCAAGUGCAAUUAUUAAUCUCACUUUUGUCCCACAGCCUAAAUGUUCUGACCUUCUCUGGACGCGCUCCAUCACUAACGAGCCCCUGCGCUGCUGCUGUUUUGUUUUGUUCCUCUCGUGCAACACGCAGACGACUAUGAGCGGAAUGGAUGGAUGCCGGAGAGGCGAACAGGGAGACGCAGACGUAAGGAAUCCGUGAGCGCAGAGAAACAAAGGGGGGGCGGUUGCCGGCCGGCUGCUGGCUGACCUGUGCUGCGGUGUCCAGUCGGUGAUGUUGCUGCCGUUCAGAGUCCAGCGGUACUGCAGGGGCCAGCUGCCUCCAGCCAGGCAGGUCAGCACCAGCCUGUUUCCCUCCAACGUCACCCGCUGGCCCGGUCCACCCCCUCGCAGGUGGGGCGAUGCUGACGAUCCCGACUGUAGACAUGUUUAAAAUCGCCUUAAUAGCCGCAGUGGGCGGCGGCAACUUUUGAAGGAUGGCCUUUAAAGUCUGGACCAGCCAUGUCACCCCGUACUGUACGUGCCUGGAGUACAGAGGGAAACUCGGGAGGAUCUACGACAAGCACUGCAUCCCAGUGUCUUUCGAAACCCAGCAACAGACGUCUGAGACAAAAUGAUGAACUACUGGCGCUGAGACCGGGGACGCCGUCUUCUUCUUCUUCUCGCUGAUGUUACAUGUCGUUCUUCAUGUCUCCGUCUCCUUGAUGGACAAUAAUCUGAACAUCUCUUAAUUGCCCGAAGCAUUUUGCACAGAACUGUGAUCAUAAGUUCAUCGUUCUGAAGCUAACAUAGGACUCCGGCAGUCUUGACUUAAUCAAACGAAAAGUUGCAGACUUUUUGCUGCUCGCCGCCCUCUUUGUGUUUCCCCGAGACAAUGUUUCCAUGCUUAGUCACACUUGAGGGGAAGUCACACAAAGGGACGCUGAACAAAAAAAAAGAAAGAGCCGUAAUAAGAUUCUUCAAAGCUCAAAGCCUCGUUUUAAUGAAACUUCUUCAGAACUUUGGGAUGUAGUUCUGCAUGUAGUUCUGCAAGUGCAGGUCCCCAUGCAUUUGCACUAGAACCACAUUGGGAGUGGAUGUCUUAAAGGCGCAGUAAGCGACUUUGGGAGUGGAUGUCUUAAAGGCGCAGUAAGCGACUUUGGGAGUGGAUGUCUUAAAGGCGCAGUAAGCGACUUUGGGAGUGGAUGUCUUAAAGGCGCAGUAUGCGACUCUGAAGCGAUACACGUUUUGUAAAAAUCUGCAAAUAUUUCCUCACGGUCCGUUGGCUGUCGCUUUUUGUGCCUGCGGCGGUAAAAAACCACACAAAACUGUGAGUGCAGCUUGUGAACAUCACUCGUCGACGCCUUAAGACGCGUGCUAGCAGGGGGCGCUGCAACUCCGAGGAUUUGGCCUAGUGGUUAGUGCGUCAGACUCCCGUACCCGAGAGCGCCCGUUUGCAUCACAACAGAGAGAAAAAUGAGCUCUCUUCAAAAUGGUUUGCUGCCCCUUUAUGCAUACGCGGGACGAAGGGAGCAAAAUAACAAGAAGUAAAGAGAAAAGGUGUGUCAGGGUUCAUAUAGGCAAACUGACGGUGGCAGAAAAGCAGUGAAAAAACACCUGCCGCCUUUGAUGAUGAUGAAAUCAAAGUGGCUCCGACGCCGUCCCACUAAUGCCGCGGCGCCGUGAGAGGGCGAGGCCACGGGAGACGGAAACUGCCCUGGACCUGGAGUGCAGCUCCUGGACGGCCGGGGGGGGGGGGGGGCUGCGACCGCACAACUACGAUCAGGAGUGAAUCCUCCUCCUCAAGUCGGCAGCUGCUUUAAUUGACUGCAGAGUGUCAGAGAGCGAAGCGCCUCACGGAAGACAACACCACCCACACGCCUGUCUUCCUGCUCCGACAGCCAAUCACAGCGCCCCCCCCCCCAUUUUGCCUGCUCCAAUCAUGGUUCCUCACACACUGUGACUGACAGCUGUCUGUGAAGAAGUGACAGAUGAAUGACCGAUCCUGAUGGGCCGAUUGUCAGAUGCAAGACCAGGAGACAGGUUGCUUACACUGUCACAAAUGCACAGGACGCACACACACACACACACGCACUCACACACACACACACACACACAGACUCCAACGUGUAGGUGCAAGCUCAGGCGGACAGCCACGGUUUGAGUUAAAAGUCAAAAUGCUUAACUUUGCUUGUGUUUGCUCCCUUGUGUCAAGGACAUUGUUAGAAUAAAGUACAGAGAGUUGUACAACAGCUUCUCCAACAAAAGGCUUUCAAGGUGAAACACAUUUGGAAAACAGGUUGGGUUGAAAUCGCAACUUCUUUUCCCCGUCUGGCUUCACAUUCUGUUGAGCGUUCUACUGGCCAUUUGCCAAUUUGGCCUGUUCUCAGUUAGGCUUCAUCCAAACUGCUACGUUUUAGGGCUGCGACUAACGAUUAUGUUC